Molecule: ribosomal RNA, 1453 nt
Filed under: Shigella flexneri
Lineage: Bacteria; Pseudomonadati; Pseudomonadota; Gammaproteobacteria; Enterobacterales; Enterobacteriaceae
Description: partial 23S ribosomal RNA
Rfam family: Bacterial large subunit ribosomal RNA
Source: RNAcentral
GGUUAAGCGACUAAGCGUACACGGUGGAUGCCCUGGCAGUCAGAGGCGAUGAAGGACGUGCUAAUCUGCGAUAAGCGUCGGUAAGGUGAUAUGAACCGUUAUAACCGGCGAUUUCCGAAUGGGGAAACCCAGUGUGAUUCGUCACACUAUCAUUAACUGAAUCCAUAGGUUAAUGAGGCGAACCGGGGGAACUGAAACAUCUAAGUACCCCGAGGAAAAGAAAUCAACCGAGAUUCCCCCAGUAGCGGCGAGCGAACGGGGAGCAGCCCAGAGCCUGAAUCAGUGUGUGUGUUAGUGGAAGCGUCUGGAAAGGCGUGCGAUACAGGGUGACAGCCCCGUACACAAAAAUGCACAUACUGUGAGCUCGAUGAGUAGGGCGGGACACGUGGUAUCCUGUCUGAAUAUGGGGGGACCAUCCUCCAAGGCUAAAUACUCCUGACUGACCGAUAGUGAACCAGUACCGUGAGGGAAAGGCGAAAAGAACCCCGGCGAGGGGAGUGAAAAAGAACCUGAAACCGUGUACGUACAAGCAGUGGGAGCACGCUUAGGCGUGUGACUGCGUACCUUUUGUAUAAUGGGUCAGCGACUUAUAUUCUGUAGCAAGGUUAACCGAAUAGGGGAGCCGAAGGGAAACCGAGUCUUAACUGGGCGUUAAGUUGCAGGGUAUAGACCCGAAACCCGGUGAUCUAGCCAUGGGCAGGUUGAAGGUUGGGUAACACUAACUGGAGGACCGAACCGACUAAUGUUGAAAAAUUAGCGGAUGACUUGUGGCUGGGGGUGAAAGGCCAAUCAAACCGGGAGAUAGCUGGUUCUCCCCGAAAGCUAUUUAGGUAGCGCCUCGUGAAUUCAUCUCCGGGGGUAGAGCACUGUUUCGGCAAGGGGGUCAUCCCGACUUACCAACCCGAUGCAAACUGCGAAUACCGGAGAAUGUUAUCACGGGAGACACACGGCGGGUGCUAACGUCCGUCGUGAAGAGGGAAACAACCCAGACCGCCAGCUAAGGUCCCAAAGUCAUGGUUAAGUGGGAAACGAUGUGGGAAGGCCCAGACAGCCAGGAUGUUGGCUUAGAAGCAGCCAUCAUUUAAAGAAAGCGUAAUAGCUCACUGGUCGAGUCGGCCUGCGCGGAAGAUGUAACGGGGCUAAACCAUGCACCGAAGCUGCGGCAGCGACGCUUAUGCGUUGUUGGGUAGGGGAGCGUUCUGUAAGCCUGUGAAGGUGUGCUGUGAGGUAUGCUGGAGGUAUCAGAAGUGCGAAUGCUGACAUAAGUAACGAUAAAGCGGGUGAAAAGCCCGCUCGCCGGAAGACCAAGGGUUCCUGUCCAACGUUAAUCGGGGCAGGGUGAGUCGACCCCUAAGGCGAGGCCGAAAGGCGUAGUCGAUGGGAAACAGGUUAAUAUUCCUGUACUUGGUGUUACUGCGAAGGGGGGACGGAGAAGGCUAUGUUGGCCGGGCGA